GGUCCCAUAGCUCAGCUGGAUAGAGCAACUGCCUUCUAAGCAGUAGGUCCGAGGUUCGAAUCCUCGUGGGAUCGCCA
This 77-nucleotide transfer RNA is filed under the name Hyphomicrobiales bacterium. RNAcentral's name for it is "tRNA-Arg". It matches the Rfam family "tRNA". From Rfam's summary of the family: Transfer RNA (tRNA) molecules are approximately 80 nucleotides in length. Their secondary structure includes four short double-helical elements and three loops (D, anti-codon, and T loops). Further hydrogen bonds mediate the characteristic L-shaped molecular structure. tRNAs have two regions of fundamental functional importance: the anti-codon, which is responsible for specific mRNA codon recognition, and the 3' end, to which the tRNAs corresponding amino acid is attached (by aminoacyl-tRNA synthetases). tRNAs cope with the degeneracy of the genetic code in two manners: having more than one tRNA (with a specific anti-codon) for a particular amino acid; and 'wobble' base-pairing, i.e. permitting non-standard base-pairing at the 3rd anti-codon position. RNAcentral also lists the same sequence under 3 other names. Lineage: Bacteria; Pseudomonadati; Pseudomonadota; Alphaproteobacteria; Hyphomicrobiales. The record is from RNAcentral.